RNAcentral lists this ribosomal RNA (484 nucleotides) under uncultured bacterium. RNAcentral describes it as "partial 16S ribosomal RNA". It matches the Rfam family "Bacterial small subunit ribosomal RNA", at positions 30 to 507 of the family's 1533-position model. The record is from RNAcentral.
AUUGAACGCUGGCGGCAGGCCUAACACAUGUAAGUCGAGCGGAUGAAGGGAGCUUGCUCCGGGAUUCAGCGUCGGACGGGUGAGUAAUGCCUAGGAAUCUGCCUCGUAGUGGGGGAUAACGUCUGGAAACGGGCGCUAAUACCGCAUACGUCCUGAGGGUGAAAGUGGGGGAUCUUCGGAACUCACGCUAUCAGAUGAGCCUAGGUCGGAUUAGCUAGUUGGUGGGGUAAAGGCCUACCAAGGCGACGAUCCGUAACUGGUCUGAGAGGAUGAUCAGUCACACUGGAACUGAGACACGGUCCAGAGUCCUACGGGAGGCAGCAGUGGGGAAUGUUGGACAAUGGGCGAAAGCCUGAUCCAGCAAUGCCGCGUGUGUGAAGAAGGUCUUCGGAUUGUAAAGCACUUUAAGUUGGGAGGAAGGGCAGUAAGUUAAUACCUUGCUGUUUUGACGUUACCAACAGAAUAAGCACCGGCUAACUUCGUG